ACAGGGGUUGGACAAUGAAACUGAAACACCUGUCAUCAUUUUAGUGUGGGAUUUUAGGUUUCAUGGCUAAAUUGGAGCAGCCUGGUGUUCAAUCUUCAUUAAUUGCACAUUGCACCAGUAAGAGCAGAGUGUGAAGGUUCAAUUAGCAGGGUAAGAGCACAGUUCUGCUCUAAAUAUUACAAUGCACACAACAUUAUGGGAGACAUACCAGAGUUCAAAAGAGGACAAAUUGUUGGUGCACGUCUUGCUGGAGCAUCUGUGACCAAGACAGCAAGUCUUUGUGAUGCAUCAAGAGCCACGGUAUCCAGGGUAAUGUCAGCUCAGCAUACCACCAAGAAGCACCAACCACAUCCAACAGGAUUAACUGUGGACGCUGUAAGAGGAAGCUGUCUGAAAGGGAUGUUCGGGUGCUAACCCGGAUUGUAUCCAAAAAAACAUAAAACCACGGCUGAUCAAAUCACGCAGAAUUCAAUGUGCACCUCAACUCUCCUGUUUCCACCAGAACUGUCCGUCACCACAAUCAAUUAUUGUGCUCUAAAACCAGGUGUUUCAGUUUCAUUCUCUAACCCCUGUACAUAAUACAUAAUAUUCCAUCUCAAUACAUCCCUGCAUCCAUACAUUCAGCAUUUCUCUGCAUUACUAGCUUUAUAUUAGUUUACAUUGUUCUCAGUGUAACGAGCCAUUAUUUAAUCCACAUUAAUCCAUAUUUAUAUGGAGACGCUUUAGAACAUCGUCAGCACAGAAACAGGAUCAUUUUAAUUCUGUGUUUAUCAGUGCAGCUGUUCUAAACAAGCCCUUCUGUGAUUUAUGAGAAAUAUAUUUGUCAGGCUGCCAAACUCGACAUUUAUAUUCAGCUGUUGUUUGUGUCCAGUAUAAAAUAUCUCUGUCUGCGUGA
This is a long non-coding RNA of Astyanax mexicanus (Mexican tetra), 895 nucleotides long. RefSeq lists it as uncharacterized. The record is from RefSeq and is a predicted model, not a curated record. Lineage: Eukaryota; Metazoa; Chordata; Actinopteri; Characiformes; Acestrorhamphidae. The transcript is spliced from 2 exons.